GGAGGUUUCCGGCCCGGGGCCCGACUGCGGGUGGCAUUUCUGGCUAAGCCGUUAGGCGCGAAUUUUCUGUGUCCAGAAAACACAGGGCACGUUACCCGGUAUCGUGGUCUACACCUCGCCCACAAAUCCAUCCCAGGCUGUAUCCUCAUGGAAGCUUUUUCCAGAUGUGCUUGAGGGUUAAGAUCGCAAUGUGCAAGAAGAAAAAGUGCACAUUGGAAAACCUUCUCUUCGGAGAUAUCUAUAUCUAUAUUUAUAUAUAUUUACAGAUAUGGAGAUAUAUACACACACGUAUCUGAAAACAUUCUGACGUUUUAAAAACGGAGCACCAGAGGAGGGGGACUUCAUCUGACUUGUUCAGCACUGUCUCCCAGGCCCUGGCACAGAGGGAGCACUCGAUACACACCGAUGGGCUGAAGGUGUGAAUGGAUCUGGGGACUAGAGUGAUGGUUAUUUGGCAGACAGCAUGCCCCGCCUGGGCAGUAGCCGUGAAGACUCUUCUUUUCCUCUCCUCGCCUGCACUCUUUAGGAUUGAACAGCAUUGGUUCAAUGCAUAUUCUGGGAGCACAGAGAAAAAAGGGAUCAAGUUCCACCAUUAUGCAAAAGGGACUCCUGUAAGCCAGGUGAAGAAGGGGCAAGGCCCUUCUUGGUCAGCAGGGAUAAGGCAGUUGUGUAUGGGAGAGCAUGCGAGGAGGGCGAGGGCUGGGGGAGAUGGAGCAGGAACAUUUGGUUGGGGCUCUGAGGCACUCUUCUGCUUGGGGAGUGUGUGGGCAAAGGCAGGGGCUGUGCAGGAAGGAUUUAGCUAAAGCCAUAAAGCUGGAAGAGGGUUUGGGGAACGGCUUUGAAGUUACAUUUGUUUUGCAAGUUCUUUGUUUUUAUUAAUGUUUGCAUGUUAUUUGGGUAGCUGUAGGGAGUAGGUUUUCGGGGAGUUAAAGUGCACUCUCUCACCCCUCCUUCAGUCCUACUACUGCCCCUAGAUACACAAUCACCUCAAGUGACUUUCACGUCACCAGGAAUGGGCAAAGUCUAGAUUUUGGAACAGAAAAUAUUUUAGGUCCCCGUCCCUCUCUGUAACCAAUAACCAAUGCCAUAUAAAUGGAAAAGUAUAAAAAAAAAAAAAAAAAAAAAAAAAAAAAAAAA
This 1137-nucleotide long non-coding RNA is filed under the name Homo sapiens (human). RNAcentral describes it as "uncharacterized LOC100652791 (GS1-24F4.2)". The record is from RNAcentral. Lineage: Eukaryota; Metazoa; Chordata; Mammalia; Primates; Hominidae.